RNAcentral lists this signal recognition particle RNA (299 nucleotides) under Aotus nancymaae (Ma's night monkey). RNAcentral describes it as "Metazoan signal recognition particle RNA (ENSANAG00000004081.1)". It matches the Rfam family "Metazoan signal recognition particle RNA". From Rfam's summary of the family: The signal recognition particle (SRP) is a universally conserved ribonucleoprotein. It is involved in the co-translational targeting of proteins to membranes. The record is from RNAcentral. Lineage: Eukaryota; Metazoa; Chordata; Mammalia; Primates; Aotidae.
ACUGGGAGCAGUGGCAUGUGCCUGCAGUCCUGGCUACUCGGGAGGCUGAGGUGGGAGGAUUGCUUGAGCCCAGGAGUUCUGGGCUGUAGCACACUAUGCCGAUUGGGUGUCCGCACUAAGUUUGGCAUCAAUAUGGUGACCUCCCGGGAGCAGGGGAACACCAGGUUGCCUAAGGAGGGGUGAACCGGCCCAGGUCAGAGACAGAGCCGAUCAAAACUCCCAUGCUGAUCAGUAGUGGGACUGCACCUGUGAAUAGCCACUGCACUCCAGCCUGGGCAACAUGGCAAGACCUCAUCUCU